This 81-nucleotide transfer RNA is filed under the name Rhizobacter sp. Root1221. It matches the Rfam family "tRNA". Rfam says of the family: Transfer RNA (tRNA) molecules are approximately 80 nucleotides in length. Their secondary structure includes four short double-helical elements and three loops (D, anti-codon, and T loops). Further hydrogen bonds mediate the characteristic L-shaped molecular structure. tRNAs have two regions of fundamental functional importance: the anti-codon, which is responsible for specific mRNA codon recognition, and the 3' end, to which the tRNAs corresponding amino acid is attached (by aminoacyl-tRNA synthetases). tRNAs cope with the degeneracy of the genetic code in two manners: having more than one tRNA (with a specific anti-codon) for a particular amino acid; and 'wobble' base-pairing, i.e. permitting non-standard base-pairing at the 3rd anti-codon position. The record is from Rfam by way of RNAcentral. Lineage: Bacteria; Pseudomonadati; Pseudomonadota; Betaproteobacteria; Burkholderiales; Sphaerotilaceae.
GCCCUGGUGGUGAAAUGGUAGACACGACGGACUCAAAAUCCGUUGCUGAAAGGCGUGUCGGUUCGAGUCCGACCCGGGGCA